UAUUGCACAAUGGGGGAAACCCUGAUGCAGCGACGCCGCGUGAAGGAAGAAGUAUUUCGGUAUGUAAACUUCUAUCAGCAGGGAAGAAAAAGACGGUACCUGAGUAAGAAGCCCCGGCUAACUACGUGCCCGCAGACGCGGUAAUACGUAGGGGGCAAGCGUUAUCCGGAUUUACUGGGUGUAAAGGGAGCGUAGACGGUAAUGUAAGUCUGAUGUGAAAGCCCGGGGCUCAACCCCGGGACUGCAUUGGAAACUAUGUAACUAGAGUACCGGAGAGGUAAGCGGAAUUCCUAGUGUAGCGGUGAAAUGCGUAGAUAUUAGGAGGAACACCAGUGGCGAAGGCGGCUUACUGGACGGAAACUGACGUUGAGGCUCGAAAGCGUGGGGAGCAAACAGG
RNAcentral lists this ribosomal RNA (397 nucleotides) under uncultured bacterium. RNAcentral describes it as "bacterial SSU rRNA". It matches the Rfam family "Bacterial small subunit ribosomal RNA", at positions 362 to 776 of the family's 1533-position model. The record is from RNAcentral.